AACGAACGCUGGCGGCAUGCCUAACACAUGCAAGUCGAACGAGAUCUUCGGGUCUAGUGGCGCACGGGUGCGUAACGCGUGGGAAUCUGCCCCGAAGACCGGGACAACCCGAGGAAACUCGGGCUAAUACCGGAUGUGGUCACUCUUCAUAAGGAGAGUGAGCAAAGGAAGCUUCGGCCUCCGCUUCGGGAUGGGCCCGCGGCCCAUUAGCUUGUUGGUGAGGUAACGGCUCACCAAGGCUUCGAUGGGUAGCUGGUCUGAGAGGACGAUCAGCCAAACGGGGACUGAGACACGGCCCAGCCUCCUACGGGAGGCAGUAGUGGGGAACCUUGCGCAAUGGGCGACAGCCUGACGCAGCAACGCCGCGUGAGGGAAGAAGGCUUUCGGGUCGUAAACCUCUUUCAGGAGGGACGAAGCUUCGGGAGUGAAUAGCUUUCCGGAGUGACGGUACUUCCACAAGAAGCCCCGGCUAACUACGUGCCAGCAGCCGCGGUAA
RNAcentral lists this ribosomal RNA (496 nucleotides) under uncultured bacterium. Its description in RNAcentral is "partial 16S ribosomal RNA". It matches the Rfam family "Bacterial small subunit ribosomal RNA", at positions 29 to 523 of the family's 1533-position model. The record is from RNAcentral.